UGUUUAUCCUGCAGGAGGUUGCUGCUAUCAGAAUUCUGUUCAGACAUGCAAGUCAGCUCAGCAAUGGGCGGCGAACUGCUCAGUAACACGUCGAUAAUCUUCCUUGAAGUCUGGGAUAAUCUCGGGAAACUGAGUGUAAACCCGGAUAUGGAAAAGAUACUGGAAUGUGCUUUUCUUCAAAAGCAAUGCUUCAAGAUGAGUCGGCGGCGGAUUAGGUUGUUGGCGAGGUAAUGGCUCACCAAGCCGAAGAUCCGUAGGGGCCUUGAGAGAGGUUGCCCCGAGAGGGACACUGAGAUACUGGUCCCAGCCCUAAGGGGUGCAGCAGUUAAGAGUUCUUUACAAUGCGCGCAAGCGUGAUAAGGGGAUUCUGAGUGCUCAGGUUUAACCUGGGCUUUUACCAAGAGUAAAUAUCUUGGAGAGUAAGUGGUGGGCAAGACUGGUGCCAGCCGCCGCGGUAAUCCCAGCGCCACAAGUUGCAACCACGUUUAUUGGGUCUAAAGCAUUCGUAGCCGGCUCUUUAAAUUUCCUGUGAAAUCGUCGCGCUCAACGUGACGGCGGGCAGGGAAGACUGAAAAGCUUGGGACCGGGAGAGGUAAGAGGUAUUCUAGGGGGAGCGGUAAAAUGUUUUAAUCCUUAGAGGACCACCGAUGGCGAAGGCAUCUUACCAGGACGGCUCUGACGGUGAGGAAUGAAAGCUAGGGGAGCGAACCGGAUUAGAUACCCGAGUAGUCCUAGCUGUAAACACUGCAUGCCAGAUGUUCCUCAAUCUUCGAGAUUGUGGAGUGUCGAAACGAAGGUGUUAAGCAUGCCACCUGGGAAUUACGGUCGCAAGACUGAAACUUAAAGGAAUUGGCGGGGGAGCACUACAACGGGUGCGGCGUGCGGUUUAAUCGAAUUCAACGCCGAGAAUCUCACCAGCGGCGACGGCACUAUGAAGGUCAGUCUAAAGGGCUUGCCUGGGGAGCCGAGAGGUGGUGCAUGGCCACCGUCAGCUCGUGCCGUGAGGUGUCCUGUUAAGUCAGGCAACGAGCGAGACCUAUGUCUACUGUUGCUCACGCGAAAGUAAUUUCGAGCGAGCACACUGUAGAGACUGCCUUCGAAAGGAGGAGGAAGGUGUAGGCAACGGUAAGUCUGUAUGCCCCGAUCUGCUGGGCUACACGCGCGCAACAAUGAUACGGACAAUGGGAUGCAACUCCGAAAGGAGAAGCUAAACCUCUAAACCGUACCUUAGUUCGGAUUGAGGGUUGCAACUCACCCUCAUGACGUCGGAAUCCGUAGUAAUCAGACGUUAGCAUCGUCCGGUGAAUAUGUCCCUGCUCCUUGCACACACCGCCCAUCAAACCAACCGAGCAGGGCUUAGAUGAGCCUUUAUUUUUGAUAAAGCCGAAUCUAAGUUCAGUGAGGUGGGUCAAGUUGUCACAAGGUA
RNAcentral lists this ribosomal RNA (1426 nucleotides) under metagenome. RNAcentral's name for it is "bacterial SSU rRNA". It matches the Rfam family "Archaeal small subunit ribosomal RNA". The record is from RNAcentral.